RNAcentral lists this ribosomal RNA (402 nucleotides) under uncultured bacterium. RNAcentral's name for it is "bacterial SSU rRNA". It matches the Rfam family "Bacterial small subunit ribosomal RNA", at positions 29 to 416 of the family's 1533-position model. The record is from RNAcentral.
AACGAACGCUGGCGGCGUGCUUAACACAUGCAAGUCGAACGAGAAAGCUCUUUCGGGAGCGAGUAAAGUGGCGCACGGGUCAUUAACACGUGGAUAAUCUGCCUUUAGGAGAAGGGCAACCUGUCGAAAGACGGGCUAAUCCUUCAUAAGACCACAGUACCUUCGGGUACAGAGGUAAAAGUGGCCUCUAUUUAUAAGCUAUUGCCUAAAGAUGAGUCCGCGCACCAUUAGCAGUUGGCGGGGUAAAGGCCCACCAAGGCAAAGAUGGUUAGCUGGUCUGAGAGGACGAUCAGCGACACUGGAACUGAGACACGGUCCAGACUCCUACGGGAGGCAGCAGUGGGGAAUUUUGGACAAUGGGCGAAAGCCUGAUCCAGCAACGCCGCGUGAGUGAUGAAGGCC